CAAAGCUCAGGAACAAAACAAACAUAUAUUCAUAAAAAAUUUACAGAGAAACUCUCACAUAAAAAGUCUUCCCCUCUUAAAUCUCUCCCUUCCAGAUUCAGAACCGUUUAGUGGAAAGAUGUACAUGUUGUAGAAACUCUCCAGAUUAAUAAGGACCAGAUCAUACCUGUGAGUGUGUGCAUCUGUGUUUCUAACCUAGCUACAGCAGUCAAAAAUGUCAUUAUAAACAAAUAUUCAACCUUUUGGUCUCGUUUUAUGUCUCAACGUGGAUCUAUUAUGUUAUUUCUCCUGCAAACAAGUUUAGCUUAUGCUGACAUCGCUGAAGUUUCUCCUGUUGUUUAUCCCAGGCAGAUCUGCUCCUCCUUUGCACCACACUGAGCCACAAAGCCUUUGCUAUGUAGAAACAGCAGACAUUGAUGCGUAUCUUGUAGUGGGAAGAACCAAAAGGUAACUUGCAUUCUUUCAAGGGUGAGUUCCUUUGGAAAGGAGAGCGCCACCUUCUGGACACAGGCCACAUGCUCCUCCGAGAAACUGUGCUGCGAAAUAGCAUAUGGACUGGCCAUAUACACAGGAGCAUCACCAAAUGCUUACAGUACCCCUGAGGUUUGGCUGACCAUAUGUCCUUCCGUCAAUAACCAUACGAGCCUUAGAUGUUGUGCUUACAAACCCCAACAAACAUAAGAUUGAUCCCUACUUUCCUUACCACAAAUCCUUUUGUCACAAUUAGCAUAUAAGAUGUUUUUUUUUGUUAUGUAUUAUUUGUGCUUACCAUAUUUUCCUUUGUAUAUGCAUGCAGAUCCACAGCUGGAAUGAGUCUGUUGACCUGAAGUCUUUGUUUCAGAGAGGUAGCCUACUGCGUCGUUCAUCCUAUGCAGUAUCCCAAGGGAAAGGUUUUGGAAAGUUAAUCAACACAGGAGUUGAGCUUACCUCUAUGGUGCCCCCACAGGAUUGGAGGGUUACAGCAGACGGUGUGAAGAAAGAAUCUCCACAGGGUUCACAAAUAGAAUUGAAUAGUGGUGAUGCUAGCAUCUUCAGUGUGUUUUUUUCAUACACUGAAAAGGUAAUGUAAUUUAAAUAUAUAUUAUUUUUCUUUUUUUUGCUGCAAUCAAAUCCAGGCUAAAUGAAUAAACAGACAAUAUCAUGAAAAUU
Carassius carassius (crucian carp) is the source of this 1149-nucleotide long non-coding RNA. RefSeq lists it as uncharacterized. NCBI's taxonomy places the organism in Eukaryota, Metazoa, Chordata, Actinopteri, Cypriniformes, Cyprinidae. The transcript is spliced from 3 exons. The record is from RefSeq and is a predicted model, not a curated record.